Molecule: transfer RNA, 72 nt
Filed under: Desulfonispora thiosulfatigenes DSM 11270
Lineage: Bacteria; Bacillati; Bacillota; Clostridia; Eubacteriales; Peptococcaceae
Rfam family: tRNA
About the family: Transfer RNA (tRNA) molecules are approximately 80 nucleotides in length.
Source: Rfam by way of RNAcentral
GGGCCUAUAGCUCAGUGGUAGAGCAUCCGGCUCAUAACCGGAUGGUCCCUGGUUCGAACCCAGGUGGGCCCA